Molecule: ribosomal RNA, 1745 nt
Filed under: Proteus mirabilis
Lineage: Bacteria; Pseudomonadati; Pseudomonadota; Gammaproteobacteria; Enterobacterales; Morganellaceae
Description: bacterial LSU rRNA
Rfam family: Bacterial large subunit ribosomal RNA
Source: RNAcentral
GUUGUUGGGUAGGGGAGCGUUCUGUAAGCCUGCGAAGGUGUACUGUGAGGUAUGCUGGAGGUAUCAGAAGUGCGAAUGCUGACAUAAGUAACGAUAAUGCGGGUGAAAAACCCGCACGCCGGAAGACCAAGGGUUCCUGUCCAACGUUAAUCGGGGCAGGGUGAGUCGACCCCUAAGGCGAGGCUGAAAAGCGUAGUCGAUGGGAAACGGGUUAAUAUUCCCGUACUGGUGGUAACUGCGAUGGGGGAACGGAGAAGGCUAGGUUGUCCGGGCGACGGUCGUCCCGGUUCAAGCAUGUAGGCAGAGUGAUUAGGCAAAUCCGGUCACUUAAUGCUGAGGUGUGAUGACGAACCACUAAGGUGGUGAAGCAAUUGAUGCCCUGCUUCCAGGAAAAGCCUCUAAGCUUCAGGUUACCAACAAUCGUACCCCAAACCGACACAGGUGGUCAGGUAGAGAAUACUCAGGCGCUUGAGAGAACUCGGGUGAAGGAACUAGGCAAAAUGGUGCCGUAACUUCGGGAGAAGGCACGCUGGCGGUAAGUGAAGUCCCUCGCGGACGGAGCCGAAGCCAGUCGAAGAUACCAGCUGGCUGCAACUGUUUAUUAAAAACACAGCACUGUGCAAACACGAAAGUGGACGUAUACGGUGUGACGCCUGCCCGGUGCUGGAAGGUUAAUUGAUGGGGUUAUCCUUAGGGAGAAGCUCUUGAUCGAAGCCCCAGUAAACGGCGGCCGUAACUAUAACGGUCCUAAGGUAGCGAAAUUCCUUGUCGGGUAAGUUCCGACCUGCACGAAUGGCGUAAUGAUGGCCAGGCUGUCUCCACCCGAGACUCAGUGAAAUUGAACUCGCUGUGAAGAUGCAGUGUACCCGCGGCAAGACGGAAAGACCCCGUGAACCUUUACUAUAGCUUGACACUGAACAUUGAGCCUUGAUGUGUAGGAUAGGUGGGAGACUAUGAAGUGUGGACGCCAGUCUGCAUGGAGUCAACCUUGAAAUACCACCCUUUAACGUUUGAUGUUCUAACCUAGGCCCAUAAUCUGGGUCGGGGACCGUGUCUGGUGGGUAGUUUGACUGGGGCGGUCUCCUCCUAAAGAGUAACGGAGGAGCACGAAGGUUGGCUAAGCAUGGUCGGACAUCAUGCGGUUAGUGCAAAGGCAUAAGCCAGCUUGACUGUGAGAGUGACGGCUCGAGCAGGUACGAAAGUAGGUCUUAGUGAUCCGGUGGUUCUGAAUGGAAGGGCCAUCGCUCAACGGAUAAAAGGUACUCCGGGGAUAACAGGCUGAUACCGCCCAAGAGUUCAUAUCGACGGCGGUGUUUGGCACCUCGAUGUCGGCUCAUCACAUCCUGGGGCUGAAGUAGGUCCCAAGGGUAUGGCUGUUCGCCAUUUAAAGUGGUACGCGAGCUGGGUUUAGAACGUCGUGAGACAGUUCGGUCCCUAUCUGCCGUGGGCGUUGGAAGAUUGAGAGGGGUUGCUCCUAGUACGAGAGGACCGGAGUGAACGCACCACUGGUGUUCGGGUUGUCAUGCCAAUGGCAUUGCCCGGUAGCUAAGUGCGGAAGAGAUAACCGCUGAAAGCAUCUAAGCGGGAAACUUGCCUCGAGAUGAGUCUUCCCUGUCACCUUGAGUGACCUAAAGGAACGUUUAAGACUAAGACGUUGAUAGGCUGGGUGUGUAAGCGUAGCGAUACGUUGAGCUAACCAGUACUAAUGAACCGUGAGGCUUAACCUGACAACACCGAAGGUGUUU